Erpetoichthys calabaricus (reedfish) is the source of this 75-nucleotide small nucleolar RNA. The record is from Ensembl. Lineage: Eukaryota; Metazoa; Chordata; Cladistia; Polypteriformes; Polypteridae.
UUCUUGUGAUAAUUACACUUUUGUGCCUCCUGUUCAUGCCACUGAUGCUCUGUCAUGAUUGAGGACAAUUCAGAA